AACGCACAUUGCACUCUGUUUGCGCAGAGUAUGCCUGUUUGAGAAUCUAUAGUAUUCUUUUUCUCUAUAAAGUUUUUAAUUUUAUAUGGGAAAGUUUUGCGGAUUUUGGGUUAUUAAAAAUACCCAAUUCUGUUAAAUCUAUAGUCAUUUUUUUUAUAGUCAAUGUUUGAACUCUAUAAAAACUUUGCAGAAAUGUAUUUGAAUGAACCUACCAGUUCUCCUUAUACAAAUUACGCAGAGAGAGAUUAGUUUUCUAUAGAAAAUAAUGCCCAUAACCAUUAAAAAAGUGAAUCGUAAGGUUGACUUUUUGAACCAUGGUCUCAAAUCAGGUAGGAUUACCCGCUGAACUUAA
RNAcentral lists this unclassified non-coding RNA (352 nucleotides) under uncultured Operculomyces. Its description in RNAcentral is "sequence contains ITS2". The record is from RNAcentral. Lineage: Eukaryota; Fungi; Chytridiomycota; Chytridiomycetes; Rhizophydiales.